UAGGGAAUCUUCGACAAUGGACGCAAGCCUGAUGGAGCAACGCCGCGUGAGUGAAGAAGGUUUUCGGAUUGUAAAGCUCUUUUGGUGGGGAAGAAGGAGAGAGGUAGUAACUGGUCCUUAUUUGACGGUAAUCAACGAGAAAGUCACGGCUAACUACGUGCCAGCAGCCGCGGUAAUACGUAGGUGGCAAGCGUUGUCCGGAUUUAUUGGGCGCAAAGCGAGCGCAGGCGGAAUGAUAAGUCUGGUGUGAAAGCCCAGGGCUCAACCGUGGAACUGCAUCGGAAACUGUCAUUCUUGAGUGCAGAAGAGGAGAGUGGAAUUCCAUGUGUAGCGGUGGAAUGCGUAGAUAUAUGGAAGAACACCAGUGGCGAAGGCGGCUCUCUGGUCUGAUACUGACGCUGAGGCUCGAAAGCAUGGGUAGCGAACAGG
Molecule: ribosomal RNA, 429 nt
Filed under: Bacillota bacterium
Lineage: Bacteria; Bacillati; Bacillota
Description: Firmicutes bacterium partial 16S ribosomal RNA
Rfam family: Bacterial small subunit ribosomal RNA
Source: RNAcentral